This is an RNA transcript of Quercus lobata, 4515 nucleotides long. RefSeq lists it as uncharacterized. The record is from RefSeq and is a predicted model, not a curated record. NCBI's taxonomy places the organism in Eukaryota, Viridiplantae, Streptophyta, Magnoliopsida, Fagales, Fagaceae. The transcript has 9 exons.
AACUUCACAACCCGAUAAACACUCUCUCUCCUGAUAAAUCAUAAACCCUUUCUUCUUCUUUGCCGUUCUCUCUGCCUCUCUCAGUUCUCAAAACCCCUAAACCAUAGCGCAUGGGCGCUCUCUCACUCCUUCAGUGGCAGAAAGUGCCAGCCUCCCACCACCGUCAUAUACCGCCAAAGCUGCUAUCAGUGCAGAUGGUGGUUUGUUCUCCUUGAUUGAGUCGCAAAGCCGAGAGUGUAAUGAAUGAAGGAUCUGUCAAUCGCAAUCCACAAAACCUGCAUAAGUUUGCAUACUCUCAAUUUGGCUUUCGAUAUUGGUCAUUGUCCCUAGCAGGCUAUACAGCAAGACUUCCUUUGCAUCUCUCACACCCACAUGAACCACAUUGAAGAGAGAUGCAAAUAAAGAUGCUUAGUGAAGUGCAAAACAGGAAUUCUAGGAAGACCUCCAUGGACAUUGAGCAUAUGUGGAAUAGGUGAGGCCCUAUCACUAUUGGUGGGGCAUCACACCAUCACUAUAAAUAUAUAUAAAGGGCAUUUUGUAAUUUUAGUUAUUGUUUAAAUACUUUGAACUAGGUUCUCAUGUUGUAGUUGCUUUAUGGUUAGAAUUAUUAGAUAUGUAUGAUUGAUCGUUAGAUAUUCCUUUUUUUUUUUUGGUAAACAAUUUCCACACCAUGGCGUUGUUGGUUAGUCAUAAAUUUAAUUAAGCUAUUUGUAUGUUAGUGAAAAGAACAUAUAUUUUCUUGUUCUAUGGUUUCAUUAGACGCUUUGUACUUUGGAGAUAUGUUUGCAUAUGAAGGAGGGCGUUACUCUACAAUUCUACCAAAUUACUCUCAGUUCUUGGUCUGCAAAAGUUUGUGUCUUCCUCACUCAUUUUAAGGGCUUUAAUCAUUCAAUAUAAUGCUGUGAAAUAAAUGUCUUUGAUCUUUAAAUUUAAGGUAGUGGUGAAUUUCCAAUUUGUGGCUUCCUCACUUUUAAAAAUACUGAACAAUUGCAUUUUUUUCGUUUUACCCUAUUAAAGUUUCACUGUUUACUAACUGUUUGGUAUAAGGUAUGUAUUAAAAAAAAAAAAAACCAAACUGCCAGAGAAAGAGAUAUAAACGGAGAUAUGUCAAUAGAGAAAGAGAUAUGAAUGGACAUAUCGAUGAUUAAAGGAGCAUUCAUGAGAUUCAGGGAGAGAAAUCUGAUAAGAUGCAGAGAGAGAGAUCUGAGGGAGGUCUCUUUGCUUUUGUCAGACCAUUCUCCCUCCAUCUUCCAGUUCCACACAGUUGUGGUUGUCUCAUGGGCAAGGGCUAUUCAACUAAGCCACAAAUGCUUUGCCUCAUGGUUGCAGAGUCCUCCACCUCGGUUACCGCUUCACCAAACUGCACAACCAACCUAACAUCAGACCGCUGGAACAGCUAUAGGUGUUGAAGGUAUUAUUGGGGUUGCUGCUUCUAAAGAUAGCAUCCUAAGGCUGUGGAAGGGGAAAGUUUCCAAAUUCUUAUUAAACUUGCAAUAUUAUGAGUACCCACGCACCAUUUUGAUAUAUAAUUCUUUCUCUCUCCCAAUUCAGUUAUGUCAAUCUCCCAAAUUAUAUUUGUACAAGGUCAGUAUUAUGCGGAAGCAACAAGUUGAUUCAUGUAAGUUUCAAAUAAUUUUAGUCACUGAUUGCCAUGUGAGUUUCAUAGUUUUGGGUUGCAAAAUUCGUAAUUUUGAAAAUUGAAUACAAUUGCAAUUCACCCUAUUUGUUUUGGUUAUUUGUUGUGUUAUAAGAACAUAAUACGUUCACUAUGGUGAUUUAAAAGCUUUCCCAUGCUUUCAAGAGGUGCCAAAUCAAAUAAAUAUACGACAUGUUGAUGAGUAACAGUUGCACAAUACCUGUCUUUGUAUCUUCCUAAGAAACAUUGUCCAUUUGAUUUACACCAUCUUUGUUUGUUUUUUUCUCUGCUUUGUUUUUCGAAGAGAUUUUCUUCCCUUUGUAAACUUGAAUUUGUUUUUUUUAAGGUUUCUUUGUUGGGUAUUGUUAAUGCUACUUUUGUUAGGUUUUUUCUUUUGUUUAUCUUAAUGAAACAUUUCUCUGUGAUUUUUGUUUCUCUAUAAACCCAAGUGGUUCUGUUUUUUUUUUUUUUUUUUGACAGACGAGUGGUUUUGUUUGAAAAAACUUGAAAGAUUUGUUCAGUUUGUAUAAAUUGUAAAAUUUGACAGUACAUUGUUCUUUGUACAAAGUCGAUUGCUUUGUAGGUUUUGGCAGAUAUUUUAUUUAUUCUUUGGAAGAGAAUGAUGGGUGGCAAAAGCAUAUAAAAAGAGGGGUUCACACUUCACACACUAAAGAAACUACAAUACCAGAUUAUAUGUCUUUAGUAAACUUUGGUACUUGGCCUUAUUAUCAUUUGAUGGUGGGCAUGGUAUUUUGUUUUUAUUUCAGUUGUGUUAUAUUGAUCUUGGACUUUCAAGUGGGGAGGAGAUGGAGCUACUCAAGGGAAUAGAUAGCAUCUUUCUCAAAUUAUAAAGGAAUUUGUCCCACUUUAUUGCUUCUUUUAGGUACUAUUUAUCUAUUUCAUCAUGUCAUUAAACUCAUUCCAUACCUUUUAGUUUCAUAAUGAAUAAUAUUCUAGAGUAUUUACUUGAAUGCCAAAAGAAAAUUAUAGUUGUAUGGCUUAUUGUAAUUUUUUUUAAGUAUGUGAUUUUAGUUGACUUCUAUGAUAAGAGAGCUGCACGAUUAGCAUACCUUGCAACUCUAUGACAUAAUUUAUUUACUAUUAUGUGUUAAUUUAUUUUAUUUUAUGAUGCGUAGAAAUCCACAAGUAUCACAAAUAGUACCAAACUCCUAACUAAAGGCUCACAUUCUCUAGACUUGCCAAUAAAUGUAUGAAUAAUAUGCAAUUUGGAAAAAUCUUGAUGAAAUUUUAGAGGGUUAAAAUCUUAGUAUAUAUAUAUUUUUUAGAAAAAAUUAUGAUGGAAUAUGGACUGAAUGAUUUAUUAUUUUUGUAUGUAGUUUGAAUAAGUUGUUAGAAAAACUAACAAUAUGUUUCUUAAGUGUAUAAUUCUUUUUAUUUUUGUAAGUAAAUCGUUUUUAACAUUUGGAAGAAUGUUUAGUACUUAGUACCACCACUAUCUCAUAUAAAUCCUAUUUGAUCCAACAUUUAUUUUAUUCUUCUUGCUUAUUUUAAAAUUUUUUGAUAAUUCAAGAGGGGGUAUUUGAACCUGACUAAAUAUAGUUAUAAUGCUAAAUAGAUUUUGUAAAUAUUCGUGCUUUUCUGUGUGGGUUAGCGACUAGUGUGUGUGUCUAUAUAUAUAUAUAUAUAUAUAUAAAGCGUGUGUGACUCAGAUUAGAUGGCUAGUAUGAGUCUCUCUUAAAAGAGAAAGAGCCCAACAAUGCGAAUGGCCUAGUUUAGUUAAAGCCCAUAUGCACUGUCUAAUAAAAUUACAGCCCAUGUUUUUUACAAAAACGGAAAUAACCCAUCAUCUCUCACUGGGCUCAGCCUGCCGAAUCAUUUUCCAUAAAAGAGACCCUAACGCUCCGUUUGUUUCGAUAUAAAAUAUUUUCAGAAAAAUAUUUUCCAAUUUUGCGAUAUUUGUUUUGCAGUAAAAUAUUUGGUCAAAAGUAAAAUAUUUUCAGCCAACCAAAUCAACCUAAGCAAAUUUACUUAAAAUAUUUUACACUUCAAAUUUUGGUAAAACAUUUUACAUUUGCUCACUCCCUCACAACCCGAUACUUAUCACUCCCGCAAUUACUUUCGCACUUAAACACUCCCUCUCGUAUUUCUCUCCAAAAAAACCCAGCCACCCUCUCAGAUUUCUCUCCAAAAAACCCAGCCACCUCUGGUCCCUGUCCAGCCAAUCUUCGGCUCCAAGGUCCAAGGCAUCACAGGCCAGCUCCAUCUUCUGCUGGCGCUGCCCAUCACCGGCAAAACUAGGUUCGAUUUCUACUCCUUGCUGGAAAAACACCUCAAAGUUUCAGCAACAGGGGACAUGUUUUGGUUUUGUGGAAUUUGAAUCUGCUAGUUUGAUGCAAAGUGCUAUUGAGCUAACAAUGACAGGGAGGUUUUCAGGACGGGCUGGUUAUUGAAAUGAUAGCUUUAGGGGCCGUGGAAACUUUAGUGGUGGGAAUUUUAGCGGAGGCCGGGGCUAUGGGAGAAAUGAAUUUGAGAGGUGAGGUGAUUUCCCAAAACGAACUCGUGGUAAUGCUGGACGGAAUGAAGAAACUGGCCAUAGGGUCUACCAAAAUGGUGGAUGGAAAAGCCACACGCCAAGCCAGUCAAGGCAGCAUGAGCUAGGCUAUGACUGCUCCUUUUGCUCCAGUUUUGUUGAGAAUAGUACCUUGUCUUUUGAUUACAUAGAGUUUAGUCAAACAGCGACAUUCUAGGUUUUUUUUUUUCUUCUGGCUCAAGAUUUUUUAAAUUUUUGGUAGUUUUAUUUUUAUUUUAGUUUCCCAGUUAAAUUGGAAAAUUUGUAACUACAUUAUUUUUGGAAUAAUUUUUUUGAAAGGUUAAUUAGUGAUAUGCUAAAUAUAAUUGUGUGCUUGUCUCCUUGUUUU